GACCCCGAGCCUGCCUCAGGCCGCAGUUGUUUCCCGCCCUGUGUUCCUCUGGUUAAAUAUUAUCGAUCUUUCCUGGUUCACCCACCGCGAAUACCGUGAGAGCAAGGGGAGGGGAGAAAAGGCGGGAAAAACAAAAACACACACACCUCCUCAGCACACAGCUCUGCUCUCUCUAGACCCCGCCCCUAAAGGGAAGGAGCGGGCAGCAGGCAAGGCUGACGCGUCCGGCGCCAUCUUUCAAGUGGGCGGAACGAGUCGCGGCUGAUGCGCCCCAUUUCCUCGUGGGACACCGUAGGUGCGUCCUGGCAUUUUCGAUUUGCGAUUCCGUGAGCACACGGGGCGUGUGAGAGGGGCGGGCCAGACUGGUUCAAUGGGGCGCUCUGGGAGGGUGUUGGCUGCAGAUGUUAACGGAGACAGACAGUCGUGUUCUUAGUGGGCGGGCUGCCAGCCCCGGAAAGCAGGCGGAGUUGGUGGUUGUGAAAGGUGUUGUUUGUGCUUGGCAGGGAGUGGGCGCUUAGCAAAUAUUUGAUGAAGGAGUGGAUUUGUCUUCGCCUUAGCACACGGUUAAGUACACUGUAACUUCACCGCAAAUCCGGUUAGGUAAUUUCCUUUUCCCACGGAAUGUAUUGUGUGCUGCUUCAGAGCUGGAGCUGAGGACUUGUUGAUUACCUCCCAUUUACCAAAUUACAGCAAAUUAGAUUGAACUGUGACUGGCAUGUGAACGAUCUGAUGUUGGACAUGGAUGAGGAAUAUUGCUCUAUAAACCACAAUCCUCCUGGGACUCACCAUUCUAUGAACAAUAAGCUAGUAAGCUUCUCAGUGAGAGGAAUCACAUCCUCAGCCUGGUAUUAACCUCUCUUCCUUCCAUGUUGGUGAUCUGCACCUCGCAAGCAAUGGUCGUGACUGAUCUAAAGCCCAAAAUAAAGAGUUCCCAGGGGGAGGAAAUUCCUAGCUCGUUACAGCAUCAUAAAACACGCAAGAAAGAGAACAAGAAGUAGGAAGACAAGUCUACCAUUUUCUUAAAUCUUAGACAAGAUCAUGAGCUAAUUUCCUGUAGAGGAGGACAGAUUUUGAAGUUGUGUUUUGAUAAAUUUGUCACAAUUUAGAUGCAAUCGGCAGCGCUUGGUGAUGGUUUUGGUGCUGCUCUGCUGUACCUCUGAGUCAUGGUGGACCAGUAACAUG
This 1182-nucleotide long non-coding RNA is filed under the name Equus asinus (donkey). RNAcentral describes it as "lncRNA (ENSEASG00005036009.1)". The record is from RNAcentral. Lineage: Eukaryota; Metazoa; Chordata; Mammalia; Perissodactyla; Equidae.